GGAGGAGUUGAGGUGGACUCAGCCGUCGGCUGAGUUGCACGAAAGGCAGCGGUAGUACAAUCGUGACGUGUAAUCCGCCGUUUGGUACGUAAUAUCUUCAAGGGUACUGAAAUACCUGUUAAGGAACCAAUAGGAACAGAAACGGAAACAAAUACAUAUUUUUUAUCUUUCCACAGAUUUCUUUACAAUCCAUGUCUACGAGAACAAUAUUAAGUACCAGUUACUUAACUUUUUUUUAAUUUUCCCCUAACCUCAAAUGCCCUCAGGGGCAAACAUUCAAACAUAUGUUAUUACCUUGGAAACCUGUUUCUUGUCCACAAUUAAGUGUGACGGUGCGGUUGAUAAGAUUACAAUGCUGUAUUGUGUGUUGUUUGAUCCCAGUCCCAUUCACUUAGAAUGGAAGUAGUGAAAAAUAUUCUCAAGUUUGAUAAUCCUCAGUAAAAAUGCAGUGCCAGUUUUGCAGUAUCUCUUGCAUAUAUAUUCUACAGUGCUGAUACCAUCUCUGAAAAGGGAUAAGUGAGAUAAUUGAACCUUUUUAAGAAGUAAUAUUUUUUGAGUUUUUCAUCUUUCUUUCCUGAGUAAGCCAAAUUGUUAUAUUUCUUGCUUUGCAAAGCUCGGUUAAUUGGAAGUUAAUCUCAGUGUUUAUCAGGUUUAUUCACCUUCAUACUGUAAAUUGUUGAACACUUAUGGCCCUUGGAAAGGGAAAGAAUGGAGCUUUAUUUGGCAGCACAGAGUCAAAGAUUUGAAGAUUUUUUUUCUCCUUCUCCCCACAGCUCCGCAUCAUCUGCCACCACCUCCUCAUCUUGUUCACUGCAUCUACUGGACCAACCUUUGCCUUCCCAAGCUCAGUCCCUUUAUGUAUGGGGAUGAUUAGGAGAUUAAGGAAGGUUAUACAACAUUGUGAAUUUUGAUCCUGAAUAGCUUUAUGACCUCAAAAACCUCAGAAGGCAUGAAAUUAAAAAAAAAAAAAAACUGCAGGUA
Molecule: long non-coding RNA, 981 nt
Organism: Protopterus annectens (West African lungfish)
Lineage: Eukaryota; Metazoa; Chordata; Ceratodontiformes; Protopteridae
Exons: 2
Source: RefSeq, a predicted model, not a curated record